This 780-nucleotide ribosomal RNA is filed under the name Bacillus cereus. RNAcentral describes it as "bacterial SSU rRNA". It matches the Rfam family "Bacterial small subunit ribosomal RNA", at positions 37 to 796 of the family's 1533-position model. Lineage: Bacteria; Bacillati; Bacillota; Bacilli; Caryophanales; Bacillaceae. The record is from RNAcentral.
GGGGGGGGGGGCUAAUACAUGCAAGUCGAGCGAAUGGAUUAAGAGCUUGCUCUUAUGAAGUUAGCGGCGGACGGGUGAGUAACACGUGGGUAACCUGCCCAUAAGACUGGGAUAACUCCGGGAAACCGGGGCUAAUACCGGAUAACAUUUUGAACCGCAUGGUUCGAAAUUGAAAGGCGGCUUCGGCUGUCACUUAUGGAUGGACCCGCGUCGCAUUAGCUAGUUGGUGAGGUAACGGCUCACCAAGGCAACGAUGCGUAGCCGACCUGAGAGGGUGAUCGGCCACACUGGGACUGAGACACGGCCCAGACUCCUACGGGAGGCAGCAGUAGGGAAUCUUCCGCAAUGGACGAAAGUCUGACGGAGCAACGCCGCGUGAGUGAUGAAGGCUUUCGGGUCGUAAAACUCUGUUGUUAGGGAAGAACAAGUGCUAGUUGAAUAAGCUGGCACCUUGACGGUACCUAACCAGAAAGCCACGGCUAACUACGUGCCAGCAGCCGCGGUAAUACGUAGGUGGCAAGCGUUAUCCGGAAUUAUUGGGCGUAAAGCGCGCGCAGGUGGUUUCUUAAGUCUGAUGUGAAAGCCCACGGCUCAACCGUGGAGGGUCAUUGGAAACUGGGAGACUUGAGUGCAGAAGAGGAAAGUGGAAUUCCAUGUGUAGCGGUGAAAUGCGUAGAGAUAUGGAGGAACACCAGUGGCGAAGGCGACUUUCUGGUCUGUAACUGACACUGAGGCGCGAAAGCGUGGGGAGCAAACAGGAUUAGAUCUGGGGGGGUGUUC